GUGACGUGUACUGAACACAAUAUAUUAUAUAAUGUAAACAACUACCUGAGAAACAGCAGAUACAGCAGAUAAAUUAAUUAUAGGCCAUUACUUUUGUAUCGUUUAUUGCAUUUAUGGAGGGAGAGGUGUAUGCUGGGUAAUGGCACAGCUAGCGACCGGGUGACUUUAUUCACCCGCUUCGGCUGUUAUCAGUCCAUACAAUGGGCGUUAUUAGCAGAAAUCAGUCCCAUAGAUGUGGGCCAUCCACCUGCUAGAUUGUUCAGAAGGUUGUUAUCAUCCAUCCAGAUGGAGGAUCACUGACAGGAGCGUGGAAGACUCCAGAAUCCACUCUGGCUGGAAUCCGGUGGAUACAGCAGUGUUACAGGUACAGUACGUGAUAUUAAGGGCAGGCGGUCAUCACUGGGGGAAGACAAGAAGCAGACGUACUUCCAAGAGGGAGCUGCAGUGAGGACACAGCCUGGUCACUGAGGUCAGAGGAGGCGCUGAAAGGUUUCCCUAAUAGUUCCUGGUGAAUCAAAGCAGGACCAUAAAGGUUGCUGGACUGCAUGAUGGCCUUACCCCUGAGCAGUCAUCCUGUUAAAGGAGGAACCAGUUAGAAGCUGUUUUCAAAGUAGCUGAGCAGAUUUCAU
Pelmatolapia mariae (spotted tilapia) is the source of this 629-nucleotide long non-coding RNA. RefSeq lists it as uncharacterized. The transcript has 3 exons. The record is from RefSeq and is a predicted model, not a curated record. NCBI's taxonomy places the organism in Eukaryota, Metazoa, Chordata, Actinopteri, Cichliformes, Cichlidae.